GUAGUCCUAACGCCUCCGGGGAUGAUAGGAUUGUGAUUGGUAAUGGCAUGCAAUAAGUAACGAUACUAUUCCGUACUUUAAUACCUUAACGAGAUGGGAAGGGUAGAUAUGGAUACGAUGACCAGUGCACUAAUACCUCGUGCAACCCCUCUCUUUUGAGGAGUGAUUACUGGUAUUGCAUUGACGUGAUCCAUAUUAAUCAUAAACCUGACCCCCUUUCCCUUUACUUGUUUCAUAAUUGUUUAAAUCUUUUCUUAAAAUUUCUUUGCUUUUCCUCGGAUUUCAA
Molecule: long non-coding RNA, 286 nt
Filed under: Nicotiana benthamiana
Lineage: Eukaryota; Viridiplantae; Streptophyta; Magnoliopsida; Solanales; Solanaceae
Description: long non-coding RNA (NBEN_LNC014386)
Source: RNAcentral